GACGAACGCUGGCGGCGUGCUUAACACAUGCAAGUCGAACGGAAAGGCCCUGCUUUUGUGGGGAGCUCGAGUGGCGAACGGGUGAGUAACACGUGAGUAACCUGCCCUUGACUUUGGGAUAACUUCAGGAAACUGGGGCUAAUACCGGAUAGGAGCUCCUGCUGCAUGGUGGGGGUUGGAAAGUUUCGGCGGUUGGGGAUGGACUCGCGGCUUAUCAGCUUGUUGGUGGGGUAGUGGCUUACCAAGGCUUUGACGGGUAGCCGGCCUGAGAGGGUGACCGGCCACAUUGGGACUGCGAUACGGCCCAGACUCCUACGGGAGGCAGCAGUGGGGAAUAUUGCACAAUGGGCGGAAGCCUGAUGCAGCAACGCCGCGUGCGGGAUGACGGCCUUCGGGUUGUAAACCGCUUUCGCCUGUGACGAAGCGUGAGUGACGGUAAUGGGUAAAGAAGCACCGGCUAACUACGUG
This 468-nucleotide ribosomal RNA is filed under the name uncultured bacterium. RNAcentral's name for it is "partial 16S ribosomal RNA". It matches the Rfam family "Bacterial small subunit ribosomal RNA", at positions 28 to 507 of the family's 1533-position model. The record is from RNAcentral.